AGAGUUUGAUCAUGGCUCAGAACGAACACUGGCGGCGUGGAUUAGGCAUGCAAGUCGAACGAGAAAGCUCCCUUCGGGGAGUGAGUAGAGUGGCGAACGGGUGAGUAACGCGUGGGAAACCUGCCCUUCAGCGGGGGAUAACAGUCCUAACGGUCUGCUAAUACCGCAUACGUCCUCCCGACCUCAUGAUCGGGUGGAGAAAGUCGGCCUCUUCUUGAAAGCUGACACUGAAGGAUGGUCCCGCGUCCCAUUAGCUUGUUGGUAGGGUAACGGCCUACCAAGGCGACGAUGGGUAGCCGGCCUGAGAGGGUGUCCGGCCACACUGGGACUGAGAUACGGCCCAGACUCCUACGGGAGGCAGCAGUCGAGAAGCUUCCGCAAUGGGGGAAACCCUGACGGAGCGACGCCGCGUGAGUGAUGAAGGCCCUAGUGGUCGUAAAACUCUGUCAGAUUGGGAAGAAAACCUCACGGUCAAUACCCGUGGGGGGGACGG
This 493-nucleotide ribosomal RNA is filed under the name uncultured bacterium. RNAcentral describes it as "bacterial SSU rRNA". It matches the Rfam family "Bacterial small subunit ribosomal RNA", at positions 8 to 475 of the family's 1533-position model. The record is from RNAcentral.